Molecule: ribosomal RNA, 559 nt
Filed under: uncultured bacterium
Lineage: Bacteria
Description: bacterial SSU rRNA
Rfam family: Bacterial small subunit ribosomal RNA
Source: RNAcentral
GCAGCAGUGGGGAAUCUUCCGCAAUGGACGAAAGUCUGACGGAGCAACGCCGCGUGUAUGAUGAAGGUCUUCGGAUUGUAAAGUACUGUCUUUGGGGAAGAAUGAUUGGAUUGAAAAUAUUGAGCCAAUAUGACGGUACCCAAGGAGGAAGCCCCGGCUAACUACGUGCCAGCAGCCGCGGUAAUACGUAGGGGGCAAGCGUUGUCCGGAAUUAUUGGGCGUAAAGGGCGCGUAGGCGGAUAGUUAAGUCCGGUGUGAAAGAUCAGGGCUCAACCCUGAGAGUGCAUCGGAAACUGGUUAUCUUGAGGACAGGAGAGGAAAGUGGAAUUCCACGUGUAGCGGUGAAAUGCGUAGAUAUGUGGAGGAACACCAGUGGCGAAGGCGACUUUCUGGACUGUAACUGACGCUGAGGCGCGAAAGCGUGGGGAGCAAACAGGAUUAGAUACCCUGGUAGUCCACGCUGUAAACGAUGAGUGCUAGGUGUAGGAGGUAUCGACCCCCCCUGUGCCGCAGUUAACACAAUAAGCACUCCGCCUGGGGAGUACGGCCGCAAGGUUGA